Molecule: ribosomal RNA, 1477 nt
Filed under: Lacticaseibacillus paracasei
Lineage: Bacteria; Bacillati; Bacillota; Bacilli; Lactobacillales; Lactobacillaceae
Description: bacterial SSU rRNA
Rfam family: Bacterial small subunit ribosomal RNA
Source: RNAcentral
GCAGUCGAACGAGUUCUCGUUGAUGAUCGGUGCUUGCACCGAGAUUCAACAUGGAACGAGUGGCGGACGGGUGAGUAACACGUGGGUAACCUGCCCUUAAGUGGGGGAUAACAUUUGGAAACAGAUGCUAAUACCGCAUAGAUCCAAGAACCGCAUGGUUCUUGGCUGAAAGAUGGCGUAAGCUAUCGCUUUUGGAUGGACCCGCGGCGUAUUAGCUAGUUGGUGAGGUAAUGGCUCACCAAGGCGAUGAUACGUAGCCGAACUGAGAGGUUGAUCGGCCACAUUGGGACUGAGACACGGCCCAAACUCCUACGGGAGGCAGCAGUAGGGAAUCUUCCACAAUGGACGCAAGUCUGAUGGAGCAACGCCGCGUGAGUGAAGAAGGCUUUCGGGUCGUAAAACUCUGUUGUUGGAGAAGAAUGGUCGGCAGAGUAACUGUUGUCGGCGUGACGGUAUCCAACCAGAAAGCCACGGCUAACUACGUGCCAGCAGCCGCGGUAAUACGUAGGUGGCAAGCGUUAUCCGGAUUUAUUGGGCGUAAAGCGAGCGCAGGCGGUUUUUUAAGUCUGAUGUGAAAGCCCUCGGCUUAACCGAGGAAGCGCAUCGGAAACUGGGAAACUUGAGUGCAGAAGAGGACAGUGGAACUCCAUGUGUAGCGGUGAAAUGCGUAGAUAUAUGGAAGAACACCAGUGGCGAAGGCGGCUGUCUGGUCUGUAACUGACGCUGAGGCUCGAAAGCAUGGGUAGCGAACAGGAUUAGAUACCCUGGUAGUCCAUGCCGUAAACGAUGAAUGCUAGGUGUUGGAGGGUUUCCGCCCUUCAGUGCCGCAGCUAACGCAUUAAGCAUUCCGCCUGGGGAGUACGACCGCAAGGUUGAAACUCAAAGGAAUUGACGGGGGCCCGCACAAGCGGUGGAGCAUGUGGUUUAAUUCGAAGCAACGCGAAGAACCUUACCAGGUCUUGACAUCUUUUGAUCACCUGAGAGAUCAGGUUUCCCCUUCGGGGGCAAAAUGACAGGUGGUGCAUGGUUGUCGUCAGCUCGUGUCGUGAGAUGUUGGGUUAAGUCCCGCAACGAGCGCAACCCUUAUGACUAGUUGCCAGCAUUUAGUUGGGCACUCUAGUAAGACUGCCGGUGACAAACCGGAGGAAGGUGGGGAUGACGUCAAAUCAUCAUGCCCCUUAUGACCUGGGCUACACACGUGCUACAAUGGAUGGUACAACGAGUUGCGAGACCGCGAGGUCAAGCUAAUCUCUUAAAGCCAUUCUCAGUUCGGACUGUAGGCUGCAACUCGCCUACACGAAGUCGGAAUCGCUAGUAAUCGCGGAUCAGCACGCCGCGGUGAAUACGUUCCCGGGCCUUGUACACACCGCCCGUCACACCAUGAGAGUUUGUAACACCCGAAGCCGGUGGCGUAACCCUUUUAGGGAGCGAGCCGUCUAAGGUGGGACAAAUGAUUAGGGUGAAGUCGUAACAAGGA